This 216-nucleotide long non-coding RNA is filed under the name Elaeis guineensis (African oil palm). RNAcentral's name for it is "long non-coding RNA (EGUI_LNC073985)". Lineage: Eukaryota; Viridiplantae; Streptophyta; Magnoliopsida; Arecales; Arecaceae. The record is from RNAcentral.
CUACAAGGAAAAAAUACGGUUCUUCCUUCACAGGAUGCCUUGUAUUAGUAUAGAAGAACUCAUAUCAAGGUCAGCUCAACUCAUAUAAAAAUAGCUCUUCACAGUAUGCCUCUUCACAGCGUAGUCAUAGCUUAUAGAGCUAUAAAUCUGAGACAUCCAUGAUACCACCGUAAUAGAUGCCAUGAUACUUAUUUGGCCAUCAACCAAGCCACGGCA